This is a non-coding RNA of Canis lupus familiaris (dog), 137 nucleotides long. The record is from RefSeq and is marked provisional. Lineage: Eukaryota; Metazoa; Chordata; Mammalia; Carnivora; Canidae.
AAAAGGCAUUGAUUAUCUUGCAAAACCAGGAAGCACCAGUAUGGCUGGAUCAGGGGCUCAGGUGCUGCUUUUAUCCCUCAGCCCCUGAUUCUCUAGCUGGCUCUUCUGCUUGCAGCCACGUGAUGCUCCCUCUACAC